GUGCCAGCCGCCGCGGUAAUACCGGCAGCCCGAGUGAUGACCGAUCUUAUUGGGCCUAAAGCGUCCGUAGCUGGCUACGCAAGUCCGUCGGGAAAUCCACUCGCCCAACGAGUGGGCGUCCGACGGAAACUGCUCGGCUUGGGACCGGAGGACCCGAGGGGUACGUCCGGGGUAGGAGUGAAAUCCUGUAAUCCCGGACGGACCGCCGGUGGCGAAAGCGCCUCGGGAGGACGGAUCCGACGGUGAGGGACGAAAGCCAGGGUCUCGAACCGGAUUAGAUACCCCGGUAGUCC
Molecule: ribosomal RNA, 293 nt
Filed under: uncultured bacterium
Lineage: Bacteria
Description: partial 16S ribosomal RNA
Rfam family: Archaeal small subunit ribosomal RNA
Source: RNAcentral